UACAGAGGUCUCAAGCGUUGUUCGGAUUUAUUGGGCGUAAAGAGCUCGUAGGCGGUUCGAUAAGUCGGACGUGAAAUCUCCACGCUCAACGUGGAGGGGCCGUUCGAUACUGUCGUGACUCGAGUCCGGUAGGGGAGUGUGGAAUUCCCGGUGUAGCGGUGAAAUGCGCAGAGAUCGGGAGGAACACCCGUAGCGAAGGCGGCACUCUGGGCCGGUACUGACGCUGAGGAGCGAAAGCGUGGGGAGCAAACAGG
RNAcentral lists this ribosomal RNA (254 nucleotides) under uncultured bacterium. Its description in RNAcentral is "partial 16S ribosomal RNA". It matches the Rfam family "Bacterial small subunit ribosomal RNA", at positions 524 to 776 of the family's 1533-position model. The record is from RNAcentral.